AGUGAACGCUGGCGGUAGGCCUAACACAUGCAAGUCGAACGGCAGCACAGUAAGAGCUUGCUCUUACGGGUGGCGAGUGGCGGACGGGUGAGGAAUACAUCGGAAUCUACUUUUUCGUGGGGGAUAACGUAGGGAAACUUACGCUAAUACCGCAUACGACCUACGGGUGAAAGCAGGGGAUCUUCGGACCUUGCGCGAUUGAAUGAGCCGAUGUCGGAUUAGCUAGUUGGCGGGGUAAAGGCCCACCAAGUCGACGAUCCGUAGCUGGUCUGAGAGGAUGAUCAGCCACACUGGAACUGAGACACGGUCCAGACUCCUACGGGAGGCAGCAGUGGGGAAUAUUGGACAAUGGGCGCAAGCCUGAUCCAGCCAUACCGCGUGGGUGAAGAAGGCCUUCGGGUCGUAAAGCCCUUUUGUUGGGAAAGAAAAGCAGCAGGUUAAUACCCCGCUGUUCUGACGGUACCCAAAGAAUAAGCACCGGCUAACUUCGUG
RNAcentral lists this ribosomal RNA (492 nucleotides) under uncultured bacterium. Its description in RNAcentral is "partial 16S ribosomal RNA". It matches the Rfam family "Bacterial small subunit ribosomal RNA", at positions 29 to 507 of the family's 1533-position model. The record is from RNAcentral.